CACUGGGACUGAGACACUGCCCAGACUCCUACGGGAGGCUGCAGUCGAGAAUCNUUCGCAAUGGGCGCAAGCCUGACGANGCGACGCNGCGUGAGCGAAGAAGGCCUUCGGGUUGUAAAGCUCUUUCGCNUGGGAACAAGAGAUGUNGGAUAAUAUCCAGGCCGAUUUGANGGUACNNGGUAAAGAAGCACCGGCUAAC
Molecule: ribosomal RNA, 199 nt
Filed under: uncultured Chlamydiae bacterium
Lineage: Bacteria; Pseudomonadati; Chlamydiota; Chlamydiia
Description: partial 16S ribosomal RNA
Rfam family: Bacterial small subunit ribosomal RNA
Source: RNAcentral